CCUACGGGGGGCUGCAGUGGGGAAUAUUGGACAAUGGGGGCAACCCUGAUCCAGCCAUGCCGCGUGUGUGAAGAAGGCCCUCGGGUUGUAAAGCACUUUCAGUGAGGAAGAACGCCUGGUGGUUAAUACCCAUCAGGAAAGACAUCACUCACAGAAGAAGCACCGGCUAACUCCGUGCCAGCAGCCGCGGUAAUACGGAGGGUGCGAGCGUUAAUCGGCAUUACUGGGCGUAAAGCGCGCGUAGGUGGCUUGAUAAGCCGGUUGUGAAAGCCCCGGGCUCAACCUGGGAACGGCAUCCGGAACUGUCAAGCUAGAGUGCAGGAGAGGAAGGUAGAAUUCCCGGUGUAGCGGUGAAAUGCGUAGAGAUCGGGAGGAAUACCAGUGGCGAAGGCGGCCUUCUGGACUGACACUGACACUGAGGUGCGAAAGCGUGGGUAGCAAACAGGAUUAGAUACCCUUGUAGUC
RNAcentral lists this ribosomal RNA (465 nucleotides) under Vreelandella stevensii. RNAcentral's name for it is "partial 16S ribosomal RNA". It matches the Rfam family "Bacterial small subunit ribosomal RNA", at positions 338 to 795 of the family's 1533-position model. Lineage: Bacteria; Pseudomonadati; Pseudomonadota; Gammaproteobacteria; Oceanospirillales; Halomonadaceae. The record is from RNAcentral.